This 768-nucleotide long non-coding RNA is filed under the name Ananas comosus (pineapple). Its description in RNAcentral is "long non-coding RNA (ACOM_LNC002684)". The record is from RNAcentral. Lineage: Eukaryota; Viridiplantae; Streptophyta; Magnoliopsida; Poales; Bromeliaceae.
UAUAUAUAUAUAUAGAGUUGAGCUAGAAUACUCUCGAUAGUAAACGACGCAUAUAUAUAUAUAUAUAUAUAGGCUAUGGCUACUAUACUAUUAUGAGUAUUAGAGCCCUCGUACUCAUAAGUUGUUUUGAAUGAUGGAGCUUCCGAAUCGACGAUCCACUCCGUUAAAUAUGAUUUAGAGUAUUUGAAACUUCUAGAAAAUAAAUUUCGUAAAUUUUCAAAAUCAUAAUAAAGACCAUCAAGUGGGCAUAAAAUGAACGGUCAAAAUCGACGACGUCCUAAAAAAGGAUGAUCGGAUCCUUCAAUUCAAGAUCAGAGUUAUUGAUCUUUAUCUAUGUAGUGAACAGAAUUUUCUAUCAAAAAUUCAACAAAUUUCGAUUUUUUUACACUGUUAAACUAGCAAGUAUUCCAUACCGGCCGUUAAAAAUUGUCAAAUUUGUGACCUCUUGAUCGUAAGGUAAAUGAUAUCGCAAAAUUAUAAAAUUUGAUUUCUAGGAAUUUUAAAUGCUGUAAAAAACGUUUAACGGUAUGAAUCGUCGAUUCGGAAGCUCUAUCAUCGAAAACGAUUUAUGAGUACGAGAGCGAUCGUUCUCAUAAUAGUAUAAUAGCCGGACCCUAUAUAUAUAUAUAUAUAUAUAUAUAUAGAGUUGGACUGGGCUACUAUUAGUAGCAAAAUCCUAUUGUUGCUAUCAAUUUUUUAGCCUUUGGAUCAACUCUUUUCAUUAUUUCUAACCAUUGGAUUAAAUACUAUAACCCAGUGGGGACCACU